GAAGUUUUCAGAGAUGAGAAUGUGCCUUCGGGAACCGUGAGACAGGUGCUGCAUGGCUGUCGUCAGCUCGUGUUGUGAAAUGUUGGGUUAAGUCCCGCAACGAGCGCAACCCUUAUCCUUUGUUGCCAGCGGUUAGGCCGGGAACUCAAAGGAGACUGCCAGUGAUAAACUGGAGGAAGGUGGGGAUGACGUCAAGUCAUCAUGGCCCUUACGACCAGGGCUACACACGUGCUACAAUGGCGCAUACAAAGAGAAGCGACCUCGCGAGAGCAAGCGGACCUCAUAAAGUGCGUCGUAGUCCGGAUUGGAGUCUGCAACUCGACUCCAUGAAGUCGGAAUCGCUAGUAAUCGUGGAUCAGAAUGCCACGGUGAAUACGUUCCCGGGCCUUGUACACACCGCCCGUCACACCAUGGGAGUGGGUUGCAAAAGAAGUAGGUAGCUUAACCUUCGGGAGGGCGCUUACCACUUUGUGAUUCAUGACUGGGGUGAAGUCGUAACAAGGUAACCGUAGGGGAACCUGCGGUUGGAUCACCUCCUUACCUUAAAGAAGC
This 552-nucleotide ribosomal RNA is filed under the name Salmonella enterica subsp. enterica serovar Agona. Its description in RNAcentral is "bacterial SSU rRNA". It matches the Rfam family "Bacterial small subunit ribosomal RNA", at positions 993 to 1533 of the family's 1533-position model. The record is from RNAcentral. Lineage: Bacteria; Pseudomonadati; Pseudomonadota; Gammaproteobacteria; Enterobacterales; Enterobacteriaceae.